UUCCGGUUGAUCCCGCCGGACCCGACUGCUAUUUGGGUGAGAAUAAGCCAUGCGAGUUGAAUGGGAUACCUAAAGUUCCCAUAGCAAACUGCUCAGUAACACAUGAUCAACUUACCCUAUAGAGAAAAAUAACCUCGGGAAACUGAGGAUAAUGUUUCAUAAUUGAAUUGGCUUGGAAAAGUUUUUCAAUGAAAGGGAUAAAAUAAAUGGUUUUUAUCUGCUAUAGGAUAGGAUCGUGUUCGAUUAUGGUUGUUGGUGAGAUAAUGGCUCACCAAGCCGAUAAUCGAUAGGGGCCGUGAGAGCGGGAGCCCCGAGAUGGGUACUGAGACAACGACCCAGGCCUUACGAGGCGCAGCAGGCGCGGAACCUCCGCAAUACACGAAAGUGUGACGGGGUUACCCAAAGUGUUCAAUAGAACUGUGAUAGGUGAGUAAUGUCCCCUACUAGAAAGGAGAGGGCAAGGCUGGUGCCAGCCGCCGCGGUAAAACCAGCUCUUCAAGUGGUCGGGAUAAUUAUUGGGCUUAAAGUGUCCGUAGCCGGUUUAGUAAGUUCCUGGUAAAAUCGGGUAGCUUAACUAUCUGCAUGCUAGGAAUACUGCUAUACUAGAGGGCGGGAGAGGUCUGAGGUACUACAGGGGUAGGGGUGAAAUCUUAUAAUCCUUGUAGGACCACCAGUGGCGAAGGCGUCAGACUGGAACGCGCCUGACGGUGAGGGACGAAAGCCAGGGGAGCGAACCGGAUUAGAUACCCGGGUAGUCCUGGCCGUAAACGAUGCAUACUAGGUGAUGGUACGGCCAUGAGCCGUAUCAGUGCCGUAGGGAAACCGUUAAGUGUGCCGCCUGGGAAGUACGGUCGCAAGGCUAAAACUUAAAGGAGUUGGCGGGGGAGCACCACAAGGGGUGAAGCCUGCGGUUCAAUUGGAGUCAACGCCGG
RNAcentral lists this ribosomal RNA (932 nucleotides) under uncultured archaeon. Its description in RNAcentral is "bacterial SSU rRNA". It matches the Rfam family "Archaeal small subunit ribosomal RNA", at positions 1 to 921 of the family's 1478-position model. The record is from RNAcentral.